This 252-nucleotide ribosomal RNA is filed under the name uncultured Bacteroidales bacterium. RNAcentral describes it as "partial 16S ribosomal RNA". It matches the Rfam family "Bacterial small subunit ribosomal RNA", at positions 524 to 776 of the family's 1533-position model. Lineage: Bacteria; Pseudomonadati; Bacteroidota; Bacteroidia; Bacteroidales. The record is from RNAcentral.
UACGGAGGAUGCGAGCGUUAUCCGGAUUUAUUGGGUUUAAAGGGUGCGUAGGCGGAAUAUCAAGUCAGCGGUAAAAAUUCGGGGCUCAACCCCGUCGUGCCGUUGAAACUGGCGGGCUGGAGUUGGAGAGAAGUACGCGGAAUGCGCGGUGUAGCGGUGAAAUGCAUAGAUAUCGCGCAGAACCCCGAUUGCGAAGGCAGCCUGCCGGCCCCACACUGACGCUGAGGCACGAAAGCGUGGGUAUCGAACAGG